UUGUUGACUUUAUUGUAAAUUGACAACAAAAUGAUUUAUACUUCAUGAAAAAUAUACAAGAUGUCAUUUGGUAAAACAGUAAAAACUUUGAAGCUGAGCAUGAUUUAAUAUGAAAUGUAACAAAAUAAUACAAAAUUUUGGAAAAUGGCUUUACAUUAUUAUUAAUCUUAUAUAAGUGUAUUCGUUUUAAAUUAUGCAACCAUAUUCUUAUGAAAUCAAAAAGUAUUUGUUUUGAUAGUCGCUUUUCCUAUAAACGAUGAAUAACGUAAUCAUUUCCAGCAAACACUUACAAUCGGUGCUAUUGAUCACACCUUGACGGCAUAUGACAUUUUUGUAUAUGAAAAGUAUGAAAAUAUCGCCGGAAAGUGUUAAACCGACUUGAUUAGAAGAUGAUUGAAAGGAUGUAGAGACCAGUGUAAAGGGCUGCAUGGUCGUCAUCUUUGGCGUCGAGAGGUGGUGGCCACUAAUCGUUUCAGGAGUGUGCGCGAAGUGCGCCACACGCAUUAGCGAUGCCGUUGUGCGUUAUCAGUCGGCCGUUGAGACACUCACGGGGCUUCUGAGUUUUGUUACCGCGUAACAUCGUUAACGACAACAAGUCCGUCGUCAGUUCACGCGGAAUUUCUCGUCGGUUUCCCACCCCGCGGCUCUCGGGUUUUUACCCCCAAUGACUUGUUGAACGCGCCUGGCCAGUGCGGUGGUGUCUGGGCCUCGUCGGGAGUGCGUUCACUGUUCUUUUGUUGCGCGUCGGUUUGUUGGUGCGACAGACAUGCAGCCGACCGCAGCUGCCAACGCGUUCGAGAAGACCACGUUGGAAUUCCGAUACGAUACGUGUCUCAACUUAUCGGCAGAUGUUGCGGAAAACAUACCGCUGUGCUACAAUAGUACAUAUGACAUGUAUGGCGAUAACAGCACUGACGAGGAAAUUGCUAGGGUGGAACAGAUCGUAUCGCUAGCGGUGCCCAUACUGUUCGGCAUCAUUGUCGUUGUCGGACUGCUCGGCAAUUUGCUAGUGGUCAUCGUGGUAAUGGCCAAUCAACAAAUGCGAAGCACCACCAACCUACUCAUCAUCAACCUGGCGCUCGCCGAUCUGUUGUUCAUCGUGUUCUGCGUGCCAUUCACCGCGGUCGAUUACAUGUUACCUUAUUGGCCGUUCGGCGAUGUCUGGUGCAAAAUGGUGCAAUAUCUUAUCGUGGUGACCGCCUACGCCAGCGUCUACACUUUAGUACUCAUGUCACUGGACCGGUUUCUGGCUGUGGUCCAUCCCAUUGCGUCCAUUUACGUGCGAACCGAACGAAACGCGUCUUCCGCCAUAAUCGUCACGUGGGUGCUCAUUGUGUUACUAGCACUCCCCGUGCUCGCCAGGCACGGCGAGGUCACGUACACCUUUUCCAGCAUCGAGCACACGGCGUGCAUAUUUCUGGACAGGGAUCCGAAAACCAGGCCGGACGGCUACAACAAACCAGCAUAUCAGAUAUUUUUCUUCCUCACUUCCUAUGCCAUUCCUCUGGCUCUGAUAUGUAUACUAUACGUACUGAUGUUAAUGAGACUUUGGAAGGGAGUAAAUCCAGGUGGUCAACCGCCUUCUGCAGAAAGUCGACGAGGCAAGAAGCGAGUAACUAGAAUGGUUGUGGUCGUAGUCGCCAUAUUUGCAUUCUGCUGGUUUCCUAUUCAAGUGAUUUUAGUAUUGAAGAGCAUAAACUAUUAUGACAUUACCGCUAUCAGUGUUGUAGUGCAAAUUGUCAGUCAUUGUCUAGCUUAUGCAAAUUCGUGUCUCAAUCCAAUAUUAUAUGCUUUUCUAUCGGAAAAUUUCCGAAAGGCAUUCAGAAAAGUGAUAAUCCCGUGGAGGCCAGAGGUUAACGUACAAGGCAGAUUUGUAAAUGGAGAUGCCCGAUCCAUGGCUAUCACUCGAACUACUAGAACUAACAACGAUAUCCUUUGAGACUACAAAGGAUAUGAAUACGUCACUAAAAUAAUCGUUGAUUGAUUUUUAAGGAUAUUAUUGCAAAAGGGAUUCACUCAAAUCACGACCAUGGUAGAAGCCCGAAGAGAAAUGUAAAUUUUCCGUAUAUUACGUCCAGUUGAAGUGAGUUAUUAAGCCUUACAAUACAAUUGGAGACUGUGAUAGAGAAUUUAUUACAAUUGUAGAACCAACCACAUACAGAGCUCAACCAAAGAAAUAACUAAACUGCAAAUUAAUUAGCUGAUGUGAUCAUAAAAUUACUAAAUAUUAGUUUUUUAUAAAUAUAUAUGUCUAUAUAUA
This is an RNA transcript of Daktulosphaira vitifoliae (grape phylloxera), 2260 nucleotides long. It is a transcript of the gene named allatostatin-A receptor-like, with no coding region annotated. The record is from RefSeq and is a predicted model, not a curated record. The transcript is spliced from 8 exons. Lineage: Eukaryota; Metazoa; Arthropoda; Insecta; Hemiptera; Phylloxeridae.